CGUCGUUGCUCUCCCCCCAUUUCUCCCCUCUCCUUCUCGAUUCAUCUCCACCGAACGGGACGCGACAGAGGGGAGGCGCAGCGGAGUUCUCAAAUCAGCGGCGGGUCCGCGUCGCAGGGGAGGCGCGACGGCGUUCUCAAAUCGGCGGCGGGACUGCGGGUGCCUCUCCACGAGGAAUCGUUGGUCCUCGUCGGCGUCGCAGGUACCCCACUACUUCUCCCUCUCUCUGUCUCGGCGGGGGACAAGGUCGUUUGUGUUUUGCGCUGGUGGUGGCGGACUGUGAGGGAAGGAUUCCUAGGGUUCGAACUGCGCCAAAUCUCCUCACAUGGUAUAUUUUCCAUGCCAAAAAGCUAUCACGAUAAUUUUUUCAUUUCCAGGCUUCAUACCUGAUUUGUAAAUAGUAAAAGCCACCCAAAAGCAGCAUGCAUGUAUUAACAUUUUUUAUCAUUUAUCUUACAAAAACAAUGUAAUUAAGCAAGCUAGAUUUUUGGUCUGCUAGAGAGGGCCAAAAGGAAACCGACAAUGUCAAAGAUAACACCCCCUCCACCGCCUUUAUUAACUUGAACUAGGUAUGUGCCCAUGCGUUGCUAUGGGAGUCAAAUCCUGUAAUUACGGCGAUUGCGAUUUUUUAGGGAAAGUGUGAUGACUGGGGCAUAUAAUUAUGAUAAUUGCAAAUUUUAAAAAGAAAGGUGUAACACCCAUUGGAUCAUGUAAUUAUCGUGAUUGAAUUGAAUCGUCACUCGCCAACCGAGGAAAAAAGAUGAGGUGGAUGGACGAAGAUGGGCAGAACACGGUCCGUCGGCAGGAAAAGGAACCUUAGGUUCUUUUUAGAUAGUAGAGAUACCGAAAAAGUUCAAGAGUUAACAUCUUCUCUUUCAUGUCAAACAGAUUUUUGGGUUGUAAACUUUGUUGUUUCCUAAAUAAUGAAAUUAUAGGUUAUGCUA
This is a non-coding RNA of Aegilops tauschii subsp. strangulata, 944 nucleotides long. NCBI's taxonomy places the organism in Eukaryota, Viridiplantae, Streptophyta, Magnoliopsida, Poales, Poaceae. The record is from RefSeq and is a predicted model, not a curated record.